GAGUAAUGUCUGGGAAACUGCCUGAUGGAGGGGGAUAACUACUGGAAACGGUGGCUAAUACCGCAUAACGUCGCAAGACCAAAGAGGGGGACCUUCGGGCCUCUUGCCAUCAGAUGUGCCCAGAUGGGAUUAGCUUGUUGGUGAGGUAACGGCUCACCAAGGCGACGAUCCCUAGCUGGUCUGAGAGGAUGACCAGCCACACUGGAACUGAGACACGGUCCAGACUCCUACGGGAGGCAGCAGUGGGGAAUAUUGCACAAUGGGCGCAAGCCUGAUGCAGCCAUGCCGCGUGUAUGAAGAAGGCCUUCGGGUUGUAAAGUACUUUCAGCGGGGAGGAAGGUGUUGUGGUUAAUAACCGCAGCAAUUGACGUUACCCGCAGAAGAAGCACCGGCUAACUCCGUGCCAGCAGCCGCGGUAAUACGGAGGGUGCAAGCGUUAAUCGGAAUUACUGGGCGUAAAGCGCACGCAGGCGGUCUGUCAAGUCGGA
This 488-nucleotide ribosomal RNA is filed under the name Salmonella enterica subsp. enterica serovar Oranienburg. Its description in RNAcentral is "partial 16S ribosomal RNA". It matches the Rfam family "Bacterial small subunit ribosomal RNA", at positions 108 to 592 of the family's 1533-position model. Lineage: Bacteria; Pseudomonadati; Pseudomonadota; Gammaproteobacteria; Enterobacterales; Enterobacteriaceae. The record is from RNAcentral. RNAcentral also lists the same sequence under 3 other names.